GCUCAGAUACUGACAGACGAGUGGACAUUGAAUUCCCUUAAAUUGGCAUGCAGAACUCAAGUUCCUGAGAAAGGAAAUCAAAGCUGGAGCACAUCACAUUGUGUACAGUGUCCUGUCUCCACCCACUCCAACCUCAUACCCCCACAUCCACUUUUCUUUCAACCUCCUGGGCCUCAGGAGCUUUUUCAACCCUUAACCGAGGCAGCAUCUUACUCCCCACAGGGAGCUGCAAUCCCAGAGACGCCCUGGGUUUUCACAGCCAAACCGCACAUGCCAGAAAGAGUUGCUUCAAAUUAUAGAGGUCACCUCUUUUAAUGCUUCUUCCUUUGGCUUUUUCCAACAUUCUUCUGUGAUUAUCACACUGGUGGGGGACAAAGGGCUAUGGCACCUGAGCAGGCCAUGCAUACAGCUCCCCUUCCCCCACAGAAUGAGCUGGUAUUUUUAGACAAAGUCGUUGAUCCCUUUAUGUAAAUGCCAUCCUAACUGGAAACCUGGAUUUCUCAGCCUUUCAAACAUCCAGUGGACUCCCACCUCUGUUGAGGCCUGGGCCUCUCCUCUCUGCCUCCUUUCAAACAACAUAGGUCUAUUUCCCCAGCAGCUUUGUUGAAAGUCCUCUUUGUGUCCUUUUGGUUAGUACGGUCAUUUAUCUUGAAGCAGGUUCAGAGGAGUACACGCUGUUUCGGAAAAGAUUUUUGUUUCAGGCACACUGAAAUCCCAGCAAAGAAGCCAUUUCCUGUGAGCUGAUUGCUGGAUUUCCUCAAUCCUUGGCAGCCACGCAGACCUCUUGUUCCAGCUCGUCCCAUAACCUUGGAUCUGUAGCGUUUAUAUUAUCUGUAAACUACUUACUUCUAGAAAGGAUUGAGGCUGUGGGGCCAGAGAGAGGGACAGGGGGCAGUGUGUAGGUAGAUGGGAUCAGGGACCCGUGGUCCACUUCUUCACACCCGGGGCAAAGGUGCAUUAGUCAUGGUCACGCGAUGUCUCCCGCAGAGGGGCAGGUGACAGCGUCCACAAAGCCAGCAGCCCCACGGCAGGCACCUUUGGCCAGCGUCCCUGGUGGCUGCGGUGGCCUUGCUGCAGACGCAUCCGUGUCUCCUGCCUGUACCUUUGGGCCCCGGAAUCCUCAGGACCACGGACAGGGAAACUGAGGCGGUCGCCGUGCAGAGGGCAUGGCUGGCAGCCGACAGUGCAGCAAGUGUGCAGGCCGGCUGUGAGGCCUUGAACUAGUCACUUCUUUCCUUUUCAGGCCUUGGCUUCUGAACCUGGAAUAGUAAUGCUUCUGGCCCUGAGGUGGACUGGGUGUGUACGUGGAGCCGGUGCUGUGAAAGGUCAUAAAAUCACAACCGGGGAGACCCACACCGAAGUGCCUUGCCCCAAGGUCACGCGGAAAAAGCAGCUUCCAGACACCAAUUUCCUGCCUGCCCUUUCCCUGGCUUCUCAAGUCCUGGGCUUUCCGAUGAGUCCGAGGAAAGUUUCUCCCCCAAAGCCCACCCACC
Heterocephalus glaber (naked mole-rat) is the source of this 1493-nucleotide long non-coding RNA. The record is from Ensembl. NCBI's taxonomy places the organism in Eukaryota, Metazoa, Chordata, Mammalia, Rodentia, Bathyergidae.